RNAcentral lists this ribosomal RNA (432 nucleotides) under uncultured archaeon. RNAcentral describes it as "bacterial SSU rRNA". It matches the Rfam family "Archaeal small subunit ribosomal RNA", at positions 474 to 903 of the family's 1478-position model. The record is from RNAcentral.
UACCAGCUCUUCGAGUGGUGUGGAUGUUUAUUGGGCCUAAAGCAUCCGUAGCUGGCUGGGCAAGUCCCCUGUUAAAUCCACCGAUUCAAUCGUUGGAGUGCGGGGGAUACUGCUCGGCUAGGGGACGGGAGAGGCAGACGGUAUUUUCGGGGUAGGGGUGGAAUCCUAUAAUCCCGGGAAGACCACCAGUGGCGAAGGCUGUCUGCUAGAACGUGCCCGACGGUGAGGGAUGAAAGCUGGGGGAGCGAACCGGAUUAGAUACCCGGGUAGUCCCAGCUGUAAACGAUGCAGGCUAGGUGUUUGGACGGCCACGUGCCGUUCUAGUGCCGCAGGGGAGCCGUUAAGCCUGCCGCCUGGGGAGUACGGCCGCAAGGCUAGAAACUUAAAGGAAUUGGGCGGGGGAGCACCACGAAGGGGUGAAGCUUGCGGUUU